RNA transcript from Mus musculus (house mouse), 2275 nucleotides. It is a transcript of the gene named arginyl aminopeptidase (aminopeptidase B), with no coding region annotated. NCBI's taxonomy places the organism in Eukaryota, Metazoa, Chordata, Mammalia, Rodentia, Muridae. The record is from RefSeq and is marked validated. The transcript has 11 exons.
GAGCAACCGCUCAGGAGCCAUGGAGAGCGGCGGACCAGGCAACUACAGCGCGGCCGCCCGGCGGCCACUGCACUCGGCCCAAGCCGUGGACGUGGCCUCGGCCUCCAGCUUCCGCGCCUUCGAGAUCCUGCACCUGCACCUGGACCUGCGGGCCGAGUUCGGGCCUCCGGGCCCGGGUCCGGGAAGCCGCGGAUUGAGCGGCACGGCGACGCUGGAGCUGCGUUGUUUGCUUCCCGAGGGCGCCUCGGAGCUGCGGCUCGACUCGCACAGCUGCUUGGAGGUGACGGCGGCGACGCUGCGACGGGGACAGCCGGGAGACCAGCAGGCGCCGGCAGAGCCCGUGCCUUUCCACACACAGCCCUUCUCGCACUAUGGCCAGGCCCUGUGCGUGGCCUUCCGGCAGCCCUGCGGUGCCGCCGAUCGCUUCGAGCUGGAGCUCACCUACCGCGUCGGGGAGGGACCCGGGGUUUGCUGGUUGGCUCCUGAGCAGACAGCAGGAAAGAAGAAACCCUUUGUCUAUACCCAGGGUCAGGCGGUCUUAAACCGAGCCUUUUUCCCUUGCUUUGACACUCCAGCAGUGAAAUGCACGUAUUCGGCUCUUAUUGAGGUUCCAGAUGGCUUCACAGCUGUGAUGAGUGCAGACACCUGGGAGAAGAGAGGACCAAAUAAGUUCUUCUUCCAGAUGAGCCAUCCCAUCCCCUCCUAUCUGAUAGCUUUGGCCAUUGGAGAUCUGGCUUCAGCUGAGGUUGGACCCAGGAGCCGGGUGUGGGCGGAGCCCUGCCUGAUUGAAGCUGCCAAGGAGGAAUACAGUGGGGUCAUAGAAGAAUUUCUGGCAACAGGAGAGAAGCUUUUCGGACCCUAUGUUUGGGGAAGGUAUGACUUGCUCUUUAUGCCACCGUCCUUUCCAUUUGGAGGAAUGGAAAAUCCUUGCCUGACCUUUGUCACUCCGUGCCUGCUAGCAGGGGACCGCUCGUUAGCCGACGUUAUCAUCCAUGAGAUCUCCCACAGUUGGUUUGGGAACCUGGUCACCAAUGCCAACUGGGGGGAGUUCUGGCUCAAUGAAGGCUUCACCAUGUAUGCCCAGAGGAGGAUCUCCACCAUCCUGUUUGGAGCUGCUUACACUUGCUUGGAGGCUGCCACAGGGAGGGCUCUGCUGCGUCAGCACAUGAAUGUCUCCGGAGAGGAAAACCCACUCAACAAGCUCCGGGUGAAGAUUGAACCAGGUGUGGACCCCGAUGACACCUACAAUGAGACCCCCUACGAGAAAGGUUACUGCUUUGUCUCAUACCUGGCCCACCUGGUGGGUGAUCAGGAUCAGUUUGACAAGUUUCUCAAGGUACAGUCAACUCUCCAUGUGGGGAGAAGGACAAGGAACAGGCCUAUGUAGAUGAGUUUAAAUUCCAAAGUAUCUUGGCUGAAGACUUUCUGGAAUUCUACCUGGAGUAUUUCCCUGAGUUGAAGAAGAAGGGAGUAGAUUCCAUUCCAGGUUUUGAGUUUGAUCGAUGGCUGAACACCCCUGGAUGGCCCCCCUACCUCCCCGACCUCUCCCCUGGGGACUCACUCAUGAAGCCAGCUGAAGAGCUGGCAGAACUGUGGGUGACCUCAGAGCCAGACAUGCAAGCCAUUGAAGCCGUGGCCAUCUCUACCUGGAAGACCUACCAGCUUGUCUACUUCCUAGAUAAGAUCUUGCAGAAGUCUCCUCUCCCUCCUGGGAAUGUGAAAAAACUUGGGGAGACAUACCCAAAGAUUUCCAAUGCUCAGAAUGCUGAGUUACGGCUAAGAUGGGGCCAAAUCAUCCUUAAGAAUGACUACCAAGAGGAAUUCCAGAAAGUGAAGGACUUCCUGCAGAGCCAGGGAAAGCAGAAGUACACUCUGCCUCUGUACCACGCCAUGAUGGGUGGCAGUGAGAUGGCCCGGACCCUGGCCAAGGACACCUUUGCCGCCACUGCUUCCCAGCUCCACAGCAACGUCGUCAACUAUGUCCAGCAGAUCCUGGCGCCCAAGGACAGUUAGAGGCUUCGCCUGGGUGGUCCCUGCCUCAGAAAGGCUUCACAGGCUUCCUGAAGAACUGCUCCUUCCCAAAUUCAUGUUCUCACUCCAGUGCCCCGGAGCUUCUGUUCUUUGGGUUUGGGUCUCUGCCCUGGUGGCGGCUUCUGGUCUAGAGAGUCCUGAGAGUCCUAGGAGGCCUCCCAUGCUCCCCCUAGCCCAGGCUGCAGAGAGUAAAAUGUCAUUCUUUUUCACUUUAAAUAAAUGUUUUUAAGCAAGAAGUAGAUAA